AUUGAACGCUGGCGGAAUGCUUUACACAUGCAAGUCGAACGGCAGCACGGACUUCGGUCUGGUGGCGAGUGGCGAACGGGUGAGUAAUAUAUCGGAACGUGCCCAGUCGUGGGGGAUAACGUAGCGAAAGUUACGCUAAUACCGCAUACGAUCUAUGGAUGAAAGCGGGGGAUCGCAAGACCUCGCGCGAUUGGAGCGGCCGAUAUCAGAUUAGGUAGUUGGUGGGGUAAAGGCUCACCAAGCCAACGAUCUGUAGCUGGUCUGAGAGGACGACCAGCCACACUGGAACUGAGACACGGUCCAGAUUCCUACGGGAGGCAGCAGUGGGGAAUUUUGGACAAUGGGCGCAAGUCUGAUCCAGCCAUUCCGCGUGCAGGAUGAAGGCCCUCGGGUUGUAAACUGCUUUUGUACGGAACGAAAAGGUCUCCAUUAAUACUGGGGGCUCAUGACGGUACCGUAAGAAUAAGCACCGGCUAACUACGUGCCAGCAGCCGCCGUAA
Molecule: ribosomal RNA, 500 nt
Filed under: uncultured bacterium
Lineage: Bacteria
Description: partial 16S ribosomal RNA
Rfam family: Bacterial small subunit ribosomal RNA
Source: RNAcentral